RNAcentral lists this ribosomal RNA (1535 nucleotides) under uncultured bacterium. Its description in RNAcentral is "16S ribosomal RNA". It matches the Rfam family "Bacterial small subunit ribosomal RNA". The record is from RNAcentral.
AGUUCGAUCCUGGCUCAGGAUGAACGCCGGCGGUGUGCCUAAUACAUGCAAGUCGUACGCACUGGCCCAACUGAUUGAUGGUGCUUGCACCUGAUUGACGAUGGAUCACCAGUGAGUGGCGGACGGGUGAGUAACACGUAGGUAACCUGCCCCGGAGCGGGGGAUAACAUUUGGAAACAGAUGCUAAUACCGCAUAACAACAAAAGUCACAUGGCUUUUGUUUGAAAGAUGGCUUUGGCUAUCACUCUGGGAUGGACCUGCGGUGCAUUAGCUAGUUGGUAAGGUAACGGCUUACCAAGGCGAUGAUGCAUAGCCGAGUUGAGAGACUGAUCGGCCACAAUGGAACUGAGACACGGUCCAUACUCCUACGGGAGGCAGCAGUAGGGAAUCUUCCACAAUGGGCGCAAGCCUGAUGGAGCAACACCGCGUGAGUGAAGAAGGGUUUCGGCUCGUAAAGCUCUGUUGUUGGAGAAGAACGUGCGUGAGAGUAACUGUUCAUGCAGUGACGGUAUCCAACCAGAAAGUCACGGCUAACUACGUGCCAGCAGCCGCGGUAAUACGUAGGUGGCAAGCGUUAUCCGGAUUUAUUGGGCGUAAAGCGAGCGCAGGCGGUUGCUUAGGUCUGAUGUGAAAGCCUUCGGCUUAACCGAAGAAGUGCAUCGGAAACCGGGCGACUUGAGUGCAGAAGAGGACAGUGGAACUCCAUGUGUAGCGGUGGAAUGCGUAGAUAUAUGGAAGAACACCAGUGGCGAAGGCGGCUGUCUGGUCUGCAACUGACGCUGAGGCUCGAAAGCAUGGGUAGCGAACAGGAUUAGAUACCCUGGUAGUCCAUGCCGUAAACGAUGAGUGCUAGGUGUUGGAGGGUUUCCGCCCUUCAGUGCCGGAGCUAACGCAUUAAGCACUCCGCCUGGGGAGUACGACCGCAAGGUUGAAACUCAAAGGAAUUGACGGGGGCCCGCACAAGCGGUGGAGCAUGUGGUUUAAUUCGAAGCUACGCGAAGAACCUUACCAGGUCUUGACAUCUUGCGCUAACCUUAGAGAUAAGGCGUUCCCUUCGGGGACGCAAUGACAGGUGGUGCAUGGUCGUCGUCAGCUCGUGUCGUGAGAUGUUGGGUUAAGUCCCGCAACGAGCGCAACCCUUGUUACUAGUUGCCAGCAUUAAGUUGGGCACUCUAGUGAGACUGCCGGUGACAAACCGGAGGAAGGUGGGGACGACGUCAGAUCAUCAUGCCCCUUAUGACCUGGGCUACACACGUGCUACAAUGGACGGUACAACGAGUCGCAAGCUCGCGAGAGUAAGCUAACCUCUUAAAGCCGUUCUCAGUUCGGACUGUAGGCUGCAACUCGCCUACACGAAGUCGGAAUCGCUAGUAAUCGCGGAUCAGCAUGCCGCGGUGAAUACGUUCCCGGGCCUUGUACACACCGCCCGUCACACCAUGGGAGUUUGUAACGCCCAAAGUCGGUGGCCUAACCUUUAUGGAGGGAGCCGCCUAAGGCGGGACAGAUGACUGGGGUGAAGUCGUAAAAAGGUAGCC